UGAUUCAAGGAGGACUGCAUUAGGUUAACUGACAGCAGGAUACUAGCUAUAUCUCUCUGACAUCGAUCCAAUGUGAACAAGAUGGACGAAAAGGAUUAUAAUCAAGCCAAACCUGUUUAACACUGAUGCUAAGUUGAGUUCAGGUAAAUAUUUCUAAAAAUCUAAGAAAAAAUUAAAAAAAAAAUAAAAACCAAAUUAAGAGA
This 203-nucleotide unclassified non-coding RNA is filed under the name Hevea brasiliensis (rubber tree). The record is from RNAcentral. Lineage: Eukaryota; Viridiplantae; Streptophyta; Magnoliopsida; Malpighiales; Euphorbiaceae.